GGGGCUGUUUUAUGGAUUCGACGAGAUUUUCGAAAUCCAAUGUGCAUGCCGAGGUGAGGUGGCCUCGUAAAAAACCUCAAAAAAAUAACUGCAAACGACUCGCAAUACGAAUCUGCUGCAUUAGCAGCUUAGUCAGCUUAAAACACUGAAGAUUCCCUUUCUCCCUAACCUCCGCUCUUAGGACGGGGAUCAAGAAAGGUCAAACUUAAAAGAGAUCGCGUAAAUGUUUUGCCUAAGACUCAAGCGUUAAAUUUAAUCAGGCUAGUCGGUUAGUGGUGUUGUUCGUCCACAACUGAUCGGUGAACCUAACGACCGGACUAAGCAUGUAGUACUGAAGACGUAGAAAUUUCGGACGCGGGUUCAAAUCCCGCCAGCUCCACCA
Molecule: transfer-messenger RNA, 382 nt
Filed under: Enterobacteriaceae (enterobacteria)
Lineage: Bacteria; Pseudomonadati; Pseudomonadota; Gammaproteobacteria; Enterobacterales
Also listed under: 2 other names
Description: FFU sp024748595 Standard tmRNA
Rfam family: transfer-messenger RNA
About the family: Bacterial tmRNA, also known as 10Sa RNA or SsrA, is named for its dual tRNA and mRNA-like properties. Its role is to liberate the mRNA from a stalled ribosome.
Source: RNAcentral